Molecule: long non-coding RNA, 1478 nt
Filed under: Marmota monax (woodchuck)
Lineage: Eukaryota; Metazoa; Chordata; Mammalia; Rodentia; Sciuridae
Source: RNAcentral
GGAGAACCAGCUCUCCCCCUUCUGGGCCGGCGGUGGAGCGCUCCAGUUAUCAACUCUCCUCGCCCGGUGGCGGUCAGAGCUGCAGAAGUUAAAAUUAGUUGCCGCUGGAGCCGCCGCCCAGCCUCUACGCAGCUGAGGGACUAGCAGGACCCUGCUCAGCCCACGCGGCCGCAGAAAACACUUUGGCGUGGCCGGGGGCGUGGCUGAGGUCGGGCCACGCCCCCUCUUUCCCAAUUCCCUUCCACGCCUGUAUCCCAUUGGUUACGGGGAUAGCCAAUGAGCUUUUGGAUCGAGGUCCUACCCCGGGUCUGACUCGAAAGCUCCUGCCAAAACUUUGGGAGUUUUUAGAGAGGAGAUUUUUUUUGUUGUUCCCCCCCCUCCUCUUAAUACUUUUUUUUUUUUUAAACUAACGGAUUAUUUUUGUUGUUUUAAAUUUAGCUCUUAGGCUUAGCUGUUCGGGUUUUUCUUUCGGUCACCGGCCCCUGUCUCCCGGCUUCUCCCGCGUGUACGGAGCCGCGGUCCCCUCCCGCCUAGUAGUGGCUCCAGCGCUCAGUGUUCGCCUCUGUCCCGCGAGGAGCCGGCGCCGCGCCGCCUUUGACAUAAGACCAGGGGCCGAGACGGUGACCGGCCAAAAUCUGGCCCCCGCCUCCUCCGUCCGAGGCGCUAGGGCUCCCGGCCUCUCUUCUUCAGGGCGGGCGGAGAAGCGAAAGCGGAUCGUCCUCCCCGGGGCCGCCGCCCCUCCCCGCGCACCCACCCAUUCACCCACUCGCUGGGUCAGGCCCGACCGCGGCCGCCGCGCGGCUCACCCGGCUAGUAUGUUCGCGGCCGGGCUGGCUCCGUUUUAUGCCUCCAAUUUUAGCCUCUGGUCGGCCGCUUACUGCUCCUCGGCCGGCCCGGGUGGCUGCUCCUUCCCCCUGGACCCUGCCGCUGUCAAGAAACCCUCCUUCUGCAUCGCAGACAUCCUACACGCCGGCGUGGGGGAUCCAGGGACGGCUCCAGAGGGACUGGUGGGGGCUUCAGCUGCCGCCCUAACCGCGCACUUGGGCUCGAUUCACCCGCACGCCUCCUUUCAAGCUGCCGCCAGAUCCCCGCUCCGUCCCACCCCGGUGGUGGCGCCUUCCGAAGUCCCGGCAGGCUUCCCGCAGAGGCUGUCUCCACUUUCAGCUGCCUACCACCACCAUCACCCACAGCAGCAGCAGCAACAACAACCUCAGCAACAAUCUCAGCAACAGCCGCAACAGCAACAGCCCGCACCUCCGACCCGGGCCGGCUCCCUGCAGACCUCGGCCUCGGGGACCCGUGUGAUCCCGCACCAUAGCGGCUCGACACCGGCUCCCUCCAGCAAAGACCUCAAAUUUGGAAUUGACCGUAUUUUGUCUGCAGAAUUUGACCCAAAAGUCAAAGAAGGCAACACGCUGAGAGGUAGGUCUUUGGUGGGAGACUUCAGGCCUUGAUGAUCACUCCCAAGGCCUCAGGCG